RNAcentral lists this long non-coding RNA (777 nucleotides) under Pan troglodytes (chimpanzee). Its description in RNAcentral is "lincRNA". The record is from RNAcentral. Lineage: Eukaryota; Metazoa; Chordata; Mammalia; Primates; Hominidae.
UUAAAGUAUUUCAUCAGUUGGACCUACCAAAUCUCAAGUCAGGAUUUGGCCAUCUCUGCUCUUGCCAUUCCACCUCUCACGACUCUAUCCUCAAAACCUGGGCUUGGCUGGGAACAAGAGCUUUAAAUCAGACUCUUUUAGGUUUUCCUAAUAAGACUGCUGCAAAUAAGGAUUGAGCCCUAGCUGAAGGCCUCAUCCUUCCAUGCCCUUUGCUUGUCCACCCAUCAACAAGCCAGGAUGAGGAGAAGCAAAGACAGCAGCAUUUACCCACAGAACCCUUUGUUGGCAGGAGCAAAAAUUGAUAGUGGAACACAUGAGGGCAGUUCCACAAGAUCCGUGCAUGAAGAGUCAGAUUUAUCAAGAAAAAUAUUAUUCUUUCGUGAACAAGAAAGAAAACAAGACAAUUUAAAAACAUCUAGAUUAAAGAUGAGCAUGUCAAUUUCAGGUGUAAGUGGCCUCGCAGGAAUGAAAGGCUGUGCUGUCUGUAUACCACUGCACUGUUGCCUCCCUGGAGAACUUUAUGCCUUACCCUGGAAGCACCCUAUCUUCAAAGCAGGGGUGUUUGAAAAUUCAUUCCCAUAACAGUGUGGAGCACAUCGAGAAAGACUGUAUUGAAACUUCCAGAUAGAACUUAUGAGGACCCAGACCCAGCAGUGGCUGUGAGGAUGAAGAGGCAAUGGGAUCUGGGACCUCAGAUAGAUCCAAGAAAUAUGCAGCAGUGGGGAUCAACGGCCUUGUAUAGAUCCUUGAUGUUAGAAGGAAAAGUGAGAUGAAUGA